AUGACUGCUCUUCUCAUUAGGAUUUCAACAUUAGUCAUAUUAUCAUGUUUGAUCAUCUCCAUCCUUUGGAAAAAAAUGAAGAGGACAGAGAAUUUGCAAGAGGCUUCAGAAAUGGUGGCCUGUCAUGAGGACCCCCUGAUUCAUGAUGGUCUUGCGGAAGCAGACUAUCAAAACUGCAUCCCAGAAGGAGCCGAGAAUGGAACUGAGACAUGAGGAGAAGCAACUCCUGACCUCAGAAGUGGUUCUAGAGAUGUGUAGAAGGCCAACAUCGAUCUCUCUCUGCUGCAGAGCAAAGAAUGAACACAUGAAUUAGCAAACUUUAUUGUAACAGUCAAAAUUAUUUUCUUUUUUCAAUUAUUGUACAUCUCAUGGAAGAAGAGAUGUAGAAGACAAAGUUUAUAGUAAGGAAAAUCAUUGGUGCUGAUCCCUAAAAUGAGCAGACAUGGCACAAAAAAAAUCAAUUACUAAUGCAUUUAAUCUCACAGAGUCACAUUUAGACAUUCAUACAAGAAUUUCAUGCUUUCAAAGUCAGAGAUUCAAAUUUGCAUCUACUCAACUUAUAAAAGACUUGUCUAUGAUUCCAUUUUUAUUGCCUUCACUUAAAACAAAUUGAUCAGUAAUUGUUGAGCAUCCCUCAACAUCAACUUGCAGCUCCUCUGUGGUACAUUUGUAACUUUAGAAUAUUAUGCUCUACUUCUGCAAAAAAGUAAUCCGGAAGUUAUAAUAUAAAUAGUGAAAUAAUAAUAAUAAAAAAACAAGAGAAAAUGGCAAAGACUUAAGAAAACAGUGUUCCGAUGAAAGGGAAGCAAUGAUGUGAUGAUAUUUGGAUGAUAUGUUUGUUUCAGAAAUGAAUGUUGUACAUAAUUUUAUCUAAAUCUACAAAUAAGAACUGUGGUGUAUAUUUAUGCCCUUUAUUGUUUAUUAAGUUACAUUUGGAAAAUAAAAUAUUAACAUCCU
RNAcentral lists this long non-coding RNA (957 nucleotides) under Oryzias javanicus (javanese ricefish). Its description in RNAcentral is "lncRNA (ENSOJAG00000014792.1)". Lineage: Eukaryota; Metazoa; Chordata; Actinopteri; Beloniformes; Adrianichthyidae. The record is from RNAcentral.